AACGAACGCUGGCGGCAUGCCUAACACAUGCAAGUCGAACGAUCCCUUCGGGGAUAGUGGCGCACGGGUGCGUAACGCGUGGGAACCUGCCCUUAGGUUCGGAAUAACUCAGAGAAAUUUGAGCUAAUACCGGAUAAUGUCUUCGGACCAAAGAUUUAUCGCCUUUGGAUGGGCCCGCGUUGGAUUCGCUAGUUGGUGGGGUAAAGGCCUACCAAGGCGACGAUCCAUAGCUGGUCUGAGAGGAUGAUCAGCCACACUGGGACUGAGACACGGCCCAGACUCCUACGGGAGGCAGCAGUGGGGAAUAUUGUACAAUGGGCGAAAGCCUGAUCCAGCAAUGCCGCGUGAGUGAUGAAGGCCUUAGGGUUGUAAAGCUCUUUUACCCGGGAUGAUAAUGACAGUACCGGGAGAAUAAGCCCCGGCUAACUCCGUG
This 433-nucleotide ribosomal RNA is filed under the name uncultured bacterium. RNAcentral's name for it is "partial 16S ribosomal RNA". It matches the Rfam family "Bacterial small subunit ribosomal RNA", at positions 29 to 507 of the family's 1533-position model. The record is from RNAcentral.